AGAGUUUGAUCCUGGCUCAGAUUGAACGCUGGCGGUAUGCUUAACACAUGCAAGUCGAACGGAAACAGGACGCUGUGAUCUCUUCGGAGUGAACUUGUCGCUGUCGAGUGGCGGACGGGUGAGUAAUACUUAGGAAUCUACCCAGUAGUGGGGGACAACACGGGGAAACUCGUGCUAAUACCGCAUACGCCCUAAGGGGGAAAGCGGGGGAUCUUCGGACCUCGCGCUAUUGGAUGAGCCUAAGUCGGAUUAGCUUGUUGGUAGGGUAAUGGCCUACCAAGGCGACGAUCCGUAGCUGGUCUGAGAGGACGAUCAGCCACACUGGGACUGAGACACGGCCCAGACUCCUACGGGAGGCAGCAGUGGGGAAUAUUGGACAAUGGGGGAAACCCUGAUCCAGCAAUACCGCGUGUGUGAAGAAGGCCUGCGGGUUGUAAAGCACUUUCAGUAGAGAAGAAAAGCCUGGGGCUAAUAUCUCCGGGUCUUGACGUAACCUACAGAAGAAGCACCGGCUAACUCCGUGCCAGCAGCCGCGGUAAUACGGGGGGUGCAAGCGUUAAUCGGAAUUACUGGGCGUAAAGCGCGCGUAGGCGGUCUGGUCAGUCGGAUGUGAAAGCCCUGGGCUCAACCUGGGAAUGGCAUUCGAUACUGCCAGACUAGAAUAUGGGAGAGGCAAGUGGAAUUUCCGGUGUAGCGGUGAAAUGCGUAGAUAUCGGAAGGAACACCAGUGGCGAAGGCGGCUUGCUGGCCCAAUAUUGACGCUGAGGUGCGAAAGCGUGGGGAGCGAACAGGAUUAGAUACCCUGGUAGUCCACGCCGUAAACGAUGAGAACUAGAUGUCGGGAGGGUUUAGCCUCUCGGUGUCGCAGCUAACGCGUUAAGUUCUCCGCCUGGGGAGUACGGUGGCAACACUAAAACUCAAAGGAAUUGACGG
Molecule: ribosomal RNA, 933 nt
Filed under: uncultured bacterium
Lineage: Bacteria
Description: bacterial SSU rRNA
Rfam family: Bacterial small subunit ribosomal RNA
Source: RNAcentral